GACGAACUUUGGCGGCGUGCUUAACACAUGCAAGUCGAACGGAAAGGCCCUGCUUUUGUGGGGUGCUCGAGUGGCGAACGGGUGAGUAACACGUGAGUAACCUGCCCUUGACUUUGGGAUAACUUCAGGAAACUGGGGCUAAUACCGGAUAGGAGCUCCUGCUGCAUGGUGGGGGUUGGAAAGUUUCGGCGGUUGGGGAUGGACUCGCGGCUUAUCAGCUUGUUGGUGGGGUAGUGGCUUACCAAGGCUUUGACGGGUAGCCGGCCUGAGAGGGUGACCGGCCACAUUGGGACUGAGAUACGGCCCAGACUCCUACGGGAGGCAGCAGUGGGGAAUAUUGCACAAUGGGCGGAAGCCUGAUGCAGCAACGCCGCGUGCGGGAUGACGGCCUUCGGGUUGUAAACCGCUUUCGCCUGUGACGAAGCGUGAGUGACGGUAAUGGGUAAAGAAGCACCGGCUAACUACGUGCCAGCAGCCGCGGUGAUACGUAGGGUGCGAGCGUUGUCCGGAUUUAUUGGGCGUAAAGGGCUCGUAGGUGGUUGAUCGCGUCGGAAGUGUAAUCUUGGGGCUUAACCCUGAGCGUGCUUUCGAUACGGGUUGACUUGAGGAAGGUAGGGGAGAAUGGAAUUCCUGGUGGAGCGGUGGAAUGCGCAGAUAUCAGGAGGAACACCAGUGGCGAAGGCGGUUCUCUGGGCCUUUCCUGACGCUGAGGAGCGAAAGCGUGGGGAGCGAACAGGCUUAGAUACCCUGGUAGUCCACGCUGUAAACGGUGGGUACUAGGUGUGGGGUCCAUUCCACGGGUUCCGUGCCGUAGCUAACGCUUUAAGUACCCCGCCUGGGGAGUACGGCCGCAAGGCUAAAACUCAAAGGAAUUGACGGGGCCCCGCACAAGCGGCGGAGCAUGCGGAUUAAUUCGAUGCAACGCGUAGAACCUUACCUGGGUUUGACAUGGAUCGGGAGUGCUCAGAGAUGGGUGUGCCUCUUUUGGGGUCGGUUCACAGGUGGUGCAUGGCUGUCGUCAGCUCGUGUCGUGAGAUGUUGGGUUAAGUCCCGCAACGAGCGCAACCCUUGUUCACUGUUGCCAGCACGUUAUGGUGGGGACUCAGUGGAGACCGCCGGGGUCAACUCGGAGGAAGGUGGGGAUGACGUCAAGUCAUCAUGCCCCUUAUGUCCAGGGCUUCACGCAUGCUACAAUGGCUGGUACAGAGAGUGGCGAGCCUGUGAGGGUGAGCGAAUCUCGGAAAGCCGGUCUCAGUUCGGAUUGGGGUCUGCAACUCGACCUCAUGAAGUCGAAGUCGCUAGUAAUCGCAGAUCAGCAACGCUGCGGUGAAUACGUUCCCGGGGCU
This 1346-nucleotide ribosomal RNA is filed under the name uncultured bacterium. RNAcentral's name for it is "partial 16S ribosomal RNA". It matches the Rfam family "Bacterial small subunit ribosomal RNA", at positions 28 to 1381 of the family's 1533-position model. The record is from RNAcentral.